Molecule: long non-coding RNA, 1349 nt
Organism: Felis catus (domestic cat)
Lineage: Eukaryota; Metazoa; Chordata; Mammalia; Carnivora; Felidae
Exons: 3
Source: RefSeq, a predicted model, not a curated record
GCCCUGAGCUGUCAGCCCUGAGCCCAAUCUUGUGAACCACAAGAUCAUGAACUGAGCCGAAGUCGGAUGCUUGACCAACUAACUGAGCCACCCAGGUGCCCUUAACUCAUUUAUUCUUAUAACUGGUUGAAGAAAGGUACAGGGAAUGACUCCGCAUUUACAAAUUUUACUAAAAGCACAGAAAGGCAGAGUAAUUGGCUCAAGGACACACAGCUGUUUGGCAGUAGAGCCAAGGUUUGAACUCAGGCAGUGCGGUAUGUGGAGUCCACACUCCAGACCACCAUAUGACGCUGCAUCUCACGCUAAGAUAGCCAGUAAUCAAAGGCGUCAACCUAGGUACUUAUGACCUAACAAAGUGAGGGCAUUACAACAUGUGACUCCUCCCCCCACCUCCCACCUCACCUCACUAAGUAGCUUCAGAGAUAACCCACUGGAGACUGAUACUCACCUCCCAUCUGUCUUUUAUCCUUGCCGGGGUCAGCAGGGUUGUUACAUGGCCUAGGAUGUGCUGGGGCUCAUGGAUCAAGAAAGAGUUCCUGAGGGGCAUUGAGCAAGUGUCCUGGAACACUGGUCAGUAAUUUCUGCGUAUGUGGUUGAAAUCGAAAGCCUCUUUAGGAGCGACUUCAUUCCUGAAGAAUCUGUGCCAUUCUCUUUUACCACGAUGUAGGCUUUGGGGAGGAAAGGCUCUGGGGAGGCCGAGCUUAUAAGGAGCUACACUUCCUGUUACUUUAAGCAACUGAGAACACCAGGAAGAGCAUGGUCCUUUGGUUUGGCUCCGGCUACCAUGGGCAAGAGGGGCCUUGGCCCAGACUGUCUGAAUCCCUCAGUGGGGCAAGAUUUUCAUUUUGAGGCCAAGCAUUUGGAGACUGGCUUCCACCUUUCGGCUCUCUAAUGAUGCCAGAGGCAGAAAGGACACAGCUUGACUCUCGAAUUCCAGCGUUCGUCCAUUUCAGGGAUGAGCAGAAAGAAAAAAAAGAGAAAAGAAAGAAAAGAAAAAGCCCUUCGGCUCACAAAGUAAGAAUCUUUGAAAUGAAAGUUCUGCAGAGAGUAAAUAUGAAGCGCCACAAUGCCAUCUCUGGAGCCACAUUUCAGAGCACAAGGGCAAUUCCACUAUGUAACGGAAGGUUGAGAGAUUUCAUGUUCCUUAAUUAAAACAUAUCUCGGGAGCCAGUGGGAGGCACCUGCACAGCCCCUACCUGAAGAUGCCGAUUUACAGAAAAACUUCCAGCCGUGGGAUUCAUACAAGGGACACGCUGGCAAUUGUGAGUUUCUUUUCAAAUCGGCCUCUGUCUGUCAUACCUAUGUAGUUACAAAAUCAAAAGGGAUAAUAAAGUUCAAUUGUAUAUUCA